UCCACGCCGUAAACGAUGUGAACUAGGUGUAGGGGGUGUUGAUCCCUUCUGUGCCGCAGCUAACGCAUUAAGUUCACCGCCUGGGGAGUACGGUCGCAAGAUUAAAACUCAAAGGAAUUGACGGGGGCCCGCACAAGCGGUGGAGUAUGUGGUUUAAUUCGAUGCAACGCGAAGAACCUUACCUGGUCUUGACAUCCCAAAGAUCUCCUGGAAACAGGAGAGUGCUUUCAUUA
This 233-nucleotide ribosomal RNA is filed under the name uncultured bacterium. RNAcentral describes it as "partial 16S ribosomal RNA". It matches the Rfam family "Bacterial small subunit ribosomal RNA", at positions 794 to 1023 of the family's 1533-position model. The record is from RNAcentral.